CCGAGAUAGGGUCUCUCAGGCCCGACCUCCUAUCCUUUGUUUACAUUACCAUGUUGCUUUGGCGGGCCCGUUUUCUAGCCGCUGGAGGUUUGACCCUCGAGCCAGUGCCCGUCAGUAGCCCUCUUUAAUUCUUUUGGUAACCUGUCGUCUGAAUAUUCAAUUUAAAUGAAAAUUA
Molecule: unclassified non-coding RNA, 175 nt
Filed under: uncultured Chaetothyriales
Lineage: Eukaryota; Fungi; Ascomycota; Eurotiomycetes; Chaetothyriales
Description: sequence contains ITS1
Source: RNAcentral